Myotis brandtii (Brandt's bat) is the source of this 992-nucleotide long non-coding RNA. RefSeq lists it as uncharacterized. Lineage: Eukaryota; Metazoa; Chordata; Mammalia; Chiroptera; Vespertilionidae. The transcript has 3 exons. The record is from RefSeq and is a predicted model, not a curated record.
UUCUUGAGGGCUUGGUCACCCGCUCCGGCCCCCUCCUGGUGGCAGCAUAGUUUUGGAAGCUCUCCUCUGGGAGAUGAAACUGACAACCCCACUCUACCACCACCACCACCAAAGAGGCGACCGGGUGUCUCUGUGGCUGUGAAUUUCUGGAGCCAUCACCCGUGACAUCAUCCACUUGGGAACGCCAGACACUUCGGACACCCCAACGUGAUCCCGAAUAAUUAAUGAUUUGCCCCUGGUACAUUGCUUAUCAUAAAUGGAGAUGGUUGGUCUUAGCAACCAGAAGAUAUAGAGAUCUUGCUGUGACAGACCUCUUUUGUAUGUGUAUUAUCCUGAAAAAAAUGUGCCCAGAAUCUGAGUUUCAUCAAUAACGCAGGAAGAUAAAGCCAUUAAAACAACAACGGGGUGUCCAGUGUAAGGAUUCAGACUUCGAAUUUACUGAGCAGCAACUAUGCCACUGAGUGAAAGCUGACGGUUGAAAAACAGCCUCAAGAAAGGAUAUGUCAACUUCUCUGGGAUUCCAGCUCACAUUGAAUUCUCUGUUCUUAAGGGCCGAAAAGAGAGGAAGCCUCUUGAAUUGACAGGAAGCCAGCUGUGCUCGCUCCACAUCUGCAUCUCCCUUGCGAGGGAGCCUGGCGCUGACGCGUGGGGUGGAACAGCCCCCAGCGCACAUCAUCUAUCUGGAUGGGCUCCUACGCAACAAAAACCUUUCUUCCUUCAAGCUGGUGAAGAGCAGAGAAGCAAGUCUGACGUGUGGAACCUGCAAGAAGGCGCCCUUUAAUCAGUCUGGCCUGUGCGGCCCUUUCAAGGGUCCGGGGCUCGACAUCAUAAGUGAUGGAGGCAAUGCGGAGCAUGAAGACAGGAGAAAGUAUAGAGGUUCCUUCCGCGUGGAAACGGAUUUCAUCAGAUUGAUCAGAAACACGUGUUUUCCCCAGACUGGGAAACCAUCUUGAAAGACUUCAUCCCAGAAAGGCCCUGGGUGGGAAGUGCCA